AGUCGAGGGGUAUUAGGAGCUUGCUCCUAAGAGACCGGCGCACGGGUGCGUAACGCGUAUGCAAUCUACCUUAUACAGGGGAAUAGCCCAGAGAAAUUUGGAUUAAUGCCCCAUGGUAUUAUAGAGUGGCAUCACUUUAUAAUUAAAGUUCCAACGGUAUAAGAUGAGCAUGCGUCCCAUUAGUUAGUUGGUAAGGUAACGGCUUACCAAGACAAUGAUGGGUAGGGGUCCUGAGAGGGAGAUCCCCCACACUGGUACUGAGACACGGACCAGACUCCUACGGGAGGCAGCAGUGAGGAAUAUUGGACAAUGGGCGCAAGCCUGAUCCAGCCAUGCCGCGUGCAGGAAGACGGUCCUAUGGAUUGUAAACUGCUUUUAUACAGGAAGAAACAACUCUACGUGUAGAGUCUUGACGGUACUGUAGGAAUAAGGAUCGGCUAACUCCGUGCCAGCAGCCGCGGUAAUACGGAGGAUCCAAGCGUUAUCCGGAAUCAUUGGGUUUAAAGAGUCCGUAGGCGGUCUUAUAAGUCAGUGGUGAAAUCUCCUAGCUCAACUAGGAAACUGCCAUUGAUACUGUAAGACUUGAAUUUUUGUGAAGUAACUAGAAUAUGUAGUGUAGCGGUGAAAUGCUUAGAUAUUACAUGGAAUACCAAUUGCGAAGGCAGGUUACUAACAAACGAUUGACGCUGAUGGACGAAAGCGUGNGGAGCGAACAGGAUUAGAUACCCUGGUAGUCCACGCCGUANACGAUGGAUACUAGCUGUUCGGAGCAAUCUGAGUGGCUAAGCGAAAGUGAUAAGUAUCCCACCUGGGGAGUACGCACGCAAGUGUGA
Molecule: ribosomal RNA, 833 nt
Filed under: uncultured bacterium
Lineage: Bacteria
Description: SSU rRNA
Rfam family: Bacterial small subunit ribosomal RNA
Source: RNAcentral